AACGAACGCUGGCGGCGUGGAUAAGACAUGCAAGUCGAGCGGGACACUUCGGGUAGCAAUAUUCGGAGUGUUCAGCGGCGCAAGGGUGCGUAACACGUGGGUAAUCUGCCGUGAAGCCUGGAAUAACUCGCUGAAAGGCGAGCUAAUACCGGAUGUGAAGUUUGGAAGGCAUCUUUUGGACUUCAAAGCUGGGGACCGUAAGGCCUGGCACUUCACGAUGAGCCCGCGGCCUAUCAGCUAGUUGGUGAGGUAACGGCUCACCAAGGCUAAGACGGGUAGCUGGUCUGAGAGGACGACCAGCCACACUGGAACUGAGACACGGUCCAGACACCUACGGGUGGCAGCAGUCGAGAAUUUUUUCACAAUGGGCGAAAGCCUGAUGGAGCGACGCCGCGUGGGGGAUGAAUGGCUUCGGCCCCGUAAACCCCUGUCAUUUGCGAACAAGUUGUUUCACCUAACACGUGAAGCAUUGAUAGUAGACGAAA
RNAcentral lists this ribosomal RNA (485 nucleotides) under uncultured bacterium. RNAcentral describes it as "bacterial SSU rRNA". It matches the Rfam family "Bacterial small subunit ribosomal RNA", at positions 29 to 483 of the family's 1533-position model. The record is from RNAcentral.